GCCUCUGCACCACUCGCCAACCUCCGCGCCCGCCGGGCCGAGGUCACGCCCGCUGCCCCCUCCUCGUGCCAAGCGGCAGCCCGCGAGCCCGGCCGGCAGGGGUCCGCGGCGGAGUCCGCAGGGAGACUCACCAGAACUUGAAGUGCUGCGAGUUUUGAAAUGGAACAUUAUUCUAUAUACCUCUAAGAAGGUUCAACAAAACAAGUUAAGGUGGGGAAUUAUCAAGACUCCUCCAGCAAAGCCAGCCAACCAAUGAAAGGGCUGGUAAGAAAUGAACCCAACACAUAGAAAUGGACAUCAAUAAAAUCUUCCAGUGAUGGCCUGAUGGAAGGAGAAAUAGAAGAGUCUUCCAGCAACUGGAACCAGGAGAUGAUCAUGUGGCAGUCUUUGAUGCUUCUCUACUGCCAUCAGAGCUUCCUUUCCUGUUUUUACCCAAGACUGAGUGAGUGAAUGAAUGAAGUAGUAUGAAUCAUCCUUCCAAAAGACUGAACUUGGAUCUGUUGCCAAGAAGACCAGAUUCUAUGACGUGUUUUUAACCUCGUGAUCACAGAAGCCCUUCUCCAAGGAGUGGGGAGAGACAAAGAUGGUGUCUUCAUGGAAGGAUGUCCAGAGUGCAUCCUGGCCUUGAGGACAUGAGACACACGACUUCCACAGCAGUAUUGAUCCCAUCCUAUCAUUUUCCACAGUCUGAGGGACUCAUGCCUCAUGUGGCUUGAGGCUAUAUAAACAGUAGCAUGAUCUAGGAAUCACUUCUUCCCAUGCAGAUUUUGGAUUUUUUUCCUGUAGUCCUGGGGAUUGAAACCAAGGUCUCACACUGAACUUUUUAAUGUUUAUUUUGAGAUACUGUCUUGUUAAGUGGCCCAGGUUGGCUUUGAACUUGUGAUCAUCCUACCUUGGCCUUUCAGUAGCUGAGAUUACAGGCAUGAGUUACCUUGCCUGGUUUAGCUAUUAUGUUUGUUUGAUCUUUCUCUGCCUUUUGAACUUGUCAAUUAGGGUUAGGGUUAUUGGUACCUUGGUCUUGGUCUUCAGCCCUGAUGAUGAUAAUGAGAAUAAAAUGAUUUAUAUUUAUCAUAUAUCUAUUAUGUACAAGACAUAUUGUACCUUAUUUGUGAUUUUUAUUACACUCAGUUUUUGAACAAGAAAAUCGAAGGUCAUAGAUAGGAAAUGAUUUUCUCAAAAGUACACAGUUUAUAAGUGACUGAUUUAAAAUUUAUUCCCAGCACUAUGGUAGCUACUGUUAUGUCGGAUUGUCUUAUGGUGAAGCACUAUGUUUUAAAUUGUUCUGUUCUGACCUGUUUUGUUAUGUCCUCUUUUAUCUUAAUCUUAUUUUUAAAAAAUACAAUUUUAAAAAAAGGAAAAAACAAAUUUAUUCCCAGGCCUCUCUGACACUUAAGUUUUGUACUUUUCACCACAACACAUUGUUUCUCUGAGGAGUUUAUCUCAGGCACAUCCCCUAUCUUUUCUGUUCUUGGCUUCCUUGAAAGACAAUGUUACUCUAAGAAUCUAAAUCCUUGAUUCUGUCCUCCUUUAGGUCACCGCAGGCCAUAGUGAUUGCAGUCAGCGCCUCAAGGCUUAGGUAAUUUUGCCUCACUAUUGAGUCCACGGUCUUUCAUGCCUGGUACGUAUGGGAAAAUCAGAGAAAAGGGAAGGACGUAGGAAGAAAGGGGUGGUUAGAAUGGUAAUGCACAGGACUGGCAGGGAGGAUAAGGACGCAAGAGACAUGAGAAGAGACCUAUGUAGAGACAAAAUGGUACUCAUUUGCUAAUCAAAAUCUCUUUAAUGGCUUAAUAGCCCAUUAAACUGUGGGGCCUAUUUAUAAUGGGACCUCAUCCAAAGGUACAUUUAUUUAAUCAGUGUCCUCCCUCCAACCCUACAGGGCCCUGGGGUAUUCUUAGCUCAGAGAAUCAUGGUCUUCUUUCAUAAUUGUCUUGUUCCUGAAGGUCUGAAGGUUAUUGAAGGAAAUAACUCACUGGAGGAGAGACAGAGACCAAGAAGUCUGUGGUUGGUUUAAUGCCUCUACUGAAUGGACCUACAAGACACCAGAGACCUUCAUUGGUGGCACUCUAAGCAAUAAAUUAUUUGACAAUUUAUAAGAUGAUGCUAGAUUUCAGGAUCUAUGUAGCUCUGGAUCUUCUUUGAUACACACAGUCCAACCAUAGUCUCAAAAUUGCUGUUGAUUUUUAUUAUGCCACAUUCUGUUACCACCACGUUUCUUUCAAUCCAUGAGCCACUGCCACACUGACAGAAAUAUAUUGACUGCUUUUGUCUUGGACAGUACCAUUAGACACAGAAAUAAGAUGAAGAAGAGCUAUCUCUUAACCUGGUUACACUGGGGGGUCAUGAAACAGGACCCCUAGAACUUGACCCCCUGCUUCCCAAGAGCAUCCUGACAAGCCAGACACUCGCAGCUCUGCCUUGUGAUCCACUGAAGUUGGUCCUACUCUGAUUAUCUGCUGUCCUGCACACCCUUGACUUGCCCUCUUUGAAGUCACCAUGCUCAUUUUUAGAACUUCUCAGCAAAUUACAGAAUUUAUGUCAGGAAAUGGGAAUUUCUCUUGAUCUGAAUGAGGCCCAAGAGAAUGUUACUUCUCUCCUGGCCAUGAAGAAACCCGUGUUGUGUCUGUUCUGAAUUAACACGUGGAGAAAGUGAUUCUAUUGAUGAUAGAGCUUUAGAGCUCCAGCGUAAUUGCUGCUUUCCAGACUUUUAGUAUCAUGAGGCUCAUAACAACAGCAGAGUCCAGAGGAACUGCUCAGCUGUAGUCUGCUCAUUGCUUGUUAAAUUUAUUUCUUUUUCGUAAUAAGAACAAGGCAGUACAAGCAGUGCAAGUAUUGGUGCUUCUCAUGAUGUAGCUUUUAACUUUUAUUUAAUAAUGACUUUAAAAAUUCCAUAAAGCUGGUACUUCCGAAAUUCGCAUCUUGUCAUUUCUAUUAUGUACAUAGGCUAUAUGCUUUUGAUUAAGUCUUCAGCUUCUUUUCUUUCCCCUGUAUGCUUGAUUUUCAUUCCCUUAUGGGCCUAGAUUGCUUGUCAUGCUCUGACAUGAUAUGCUUCCCACUUCUAUGAUUCUGGACAGUUUUCUCAGUUCUCUCACUAAAGUUUGUUUCCCAAACAGACUCGUGGCAGUUCUCCAAAGUACAGUUAAACCCAAAGUGGGCAGUGGGACAAUAAAAGCAAGUUUGAAUAUCAAAGUAAUAGCAAUAGGAAGAAUAAUUCUCACUUAUUGCCUUAGUUAUCUCUUCAUUUGUACCUGUGCAUACAUAAACAAGAAUUAGAUAAGUAUUUGUUGACUUAACUUAUUUUUUUUUAUUUUUAAGAGAAUAAAGCCAAACAAAAUAAAGCAGAAUAAAUUCAACCAAAACAAACAGUGAAAGCAAUAUAGGACUUCAGAACAAGAUAAGAGGAAACCAACAAUGGCUGACAUAAUGUCUCUUGUUAUCUUCAAAAUAGCUGUCCAUACCUUGAACAUGACUUAAUUUUUUUCAAUGCAGGAAUCAUUUUCUUUGAGAAGCUCCCUUUGUCUUUAAACCACCUAGUAUACACUCACAUGGACCCAGAAUGUUUAACAUUGAGAGAUGGAGUUGCUACCAUACAGGGCUUCUGUAAAAAAGCAAAGGGCCGUUAUUUUUAGUUUGAAGAGAUCCAGGGCAGAUGCCUGGAGAAAAGCUAACAGGACUGAAGGUAAAGUGUGUUUAAACCCCCAGCUCAAACUCUCUGGAUCUAUGGACACUCAUUUCUCCAACGUGCGCUAUACACGACCAGCGCACGAGCUGCUACUAGAGUCCCACUUGCCUGCUGGCAAUUGGAUGAGCAAUCGUGUCUUGUGUUUAAACUGAGAGAUGCACACAUUGCCAGAGGCCAUGGUGGGGACUGGCCUCCAUAUCUGCAGAAGUACAAAACUAAAUCACACAAAUAGAAACAAUCGUGCCUGCAACCUCGAGGCCAAUCUCUGCACAGUGUUAUCACCAACUCAUCACUUGGACUCAAACGAGCUUUGAAAAUAGUGUAUUUGGAGACGUUUUUCUCAGGAGGCAACAAGAAAAGGAAAGAUGACAGAGUAAGGUUCAAUCAAUAUUUUAAAGCCAUUUUGCUAUAAGCUUCGCCUGCUACUCCAACUCCUUAGUAAGCUGAAUUCCUCCAAAUACUGGUAUCCUCGCUCCCAUUUCUUAAACUUGAAGUUACAUUUUCAGACUGAAAACAAAGAUACCUUGCCAGAAAGAGGAAAAUAAGCUCAAGAAGGGAUGCAGGCCUCAGGGCGUUUGGGUGACUACUUAUUACUCGAGACCAGCAUUUCUAGAGCCGUGUUUUCCACUCUGCAUGACUCAGGCCAUCCAACAAGCACAUUCCAUGUUCAUAACACACUAACUCGAUAGUAAGAAAUUUAGCUUGGAAGAGGAAAGCUAUCAGGGAAAAAGCCCUGUUUAUGGUUACCAUUCUCUCUUCUCACUGAAGAAAUUCUUCCGGCUACUGAAAAUGACUCUAUUAUACAUUAAAAAAGAAA
Cavia porcellus (domestic guinea pig) is the source of this 4496-nucleotide RNA transcript. RefSeq lists it as uncharacterized. The transcript is spliced from 3 exons. Lineage: Eukaryota; Metazoa; Chordata; Mammalia; Rodentia; Caviidae. The record is from RefSeq and is a predicted model, not a curated record.